GAAACGCGAUAGUUAAUGUGAAUUGCAGAAUUUAGUGAAUCAUCGAGUCUUUGAACGCACAUUGCGCCCAUUGGUAUUCCAUUGGGCAUGUCUGUUUGAGCGUCAUUUCAACCCUCAAGCCCUGGUUGCUUGGUGUUGGGAGCUUGCUGUGAAACGCAACUCCUCAAAGCUAGCUGGCAGAGUCGGGAUGCACUCUAAGCGUAGUAAACUUGAUAGUCUCGCUUCUGCAGUUGUCCCGGCCGUCUUGCCAUAAAAGCCCAAACUUUUUUGUUUUCUAUGGUUGACCUCGGAUCAGGUAGGAAUACCCGCUGAACUUAAGC
RNAcentral lists this unclassified non-coding RNA (320 nucleotides) under plant metagenome. RNAcentral describes it as "partial contains 5.8S ribosomal RNA, internal transcribed spacer 2, and large subunit ribosomal RNA". The stretch from base 1 to 105 matches the Rfam family "5.8S ribosomal RNA", at positions 50 to 154 of the family's 154-position model. The record is from RNAcentral.